GGGGAUGUGGCUUAGCAGUAAAGCGCACGCCUCUCGUGUGUGAGACCAUGGGUUCGAUCCUCAGCACCA
This 69-nucleotide transfer RNA is filed under the name Ictidomys tridecemlineatus (thirteen-lined ground squirrel). RNAcentral's name for it is "Spermophilus tridecemlineatus (thirteen-lined ground squirrel) tRNA". It matches the Rfam family "tRNA". From Rfam's summary of the family: Transfer RNA (tRNA) molecules are approximately 80 nucleotides in length. Their secondary structure includes four short double-helical elements and three loops (D, anti-codon, and T loops). Lineage: Eukaryota; Metazoa; Chordata; Mammalia; Rodentia; Sciuridae. The record is from Rfam by way of RNAcentral.